GUAUCAUGCUCGUACUAGUCAAAAAUGCAUUAUCCGUACUGGAUACUCGUCUGAAACAAGUAUCCGGCUCAACCCUAGGAUAUAUCCUCAAGGU
Thalassophryne amazonica is the source of this 94-nucleotide long non-coding RNA. RefSeq lists it as uncharacterized. NCBI's taxonomy places the organism in Eukaryota, Metazoa, Chordata, Actinopteri, Batrachoidiformes, Batrachoididae. The record is from RefSeq and is a predicted model, not a curated record. The transcript has 3 exons.